AUGGCGGCGAUUCCUCCAGACUCUUGGCAGCCGCCCAACGUGUACCUGGAGACCAGCACGGGGAUCAUCAUGCUGGAGCUGUACUGGAAGCAUGCUCCGAAGACCUGUAAGAACUUCGCUGAAUUGGCUCGUUGAGGUUACUACAAUGGCACCAAAUUCCACAGAAUCAUCAAAGACUUUAUAAUCCAGGGAGGUGACCCAACAGGGACAGGUCGAGGUGGUGCAUCUAUCUAUGGCAAGCAGUUUGAAGAUUAACUUCAUCCAGACUUGAAAUUCACAGGGGCUGGAAUUCUCGCGAUGGCCAAUGCAGGGCCUGACACCAACGGCAGCCAGUUCUUUGUGACCCUGGCUCCCACCCAGUGGCUUGAUGGCAAACACACCAUUUUUGGCCGUGUGUGUCAGGGUAUAGGCAUGGUGAAUCGAGUUGGAAUGGUGGAAACAAACUCCCAGGACCGCCCCGUGGAUGAUGUGAAGAUCAUUAAGGCAUACCCUUCCGGGUAGACUUGCUGCCCUCUCGGACACACCCAGGUCUUCUGAGAUGGCCCCAACAAACCAGUUUGCAGAUGACCUAGAAUGACACAUAACUCUAAACUUCAUUUUGGCCUUGCAGAUCUGAGGCGCUGAGGAGGCCUGGGGUCUUGGGUGAGUUAGAGAUGGAAGUGUAUUUUAGUCAGAUGCUUCUUUUUCUUCCCCAGUGCCUGUGUUGACUGAACAUUUGCAGAAAUGCUCUUCAUGAUCUUCUCACUGCACGUGACCCAGACUGCUCCUUCCUGUGUGUCUCUGCUUUAUGUACUUCAGAGUGAAGCCAACUCUGUCAUUUCGCAGUGCCUAACCAACCUCUUGUGGAAAUUUAUAUUCCGGCCUACAUUGCAGUCUUUAGUGGCUGACAGCCAUAGAAUUCAAAACCAAGUAGUGUCUAUCAGCCUUCUUAA
Molecule: non-coding RNA, 932 nt
Organism: Odocoileus virginianus texanus
Lineage: Eukaryota; Metazoa; Chordata; Mammalia; Artiodactyla; Cervidae
Source: RefSeq, a predicted model, not a curated record